UCCGGUUUGUCACCGGCAGUCCCAUUAGAGUGCUCAACUGAAUGUAGCAACUAAUGGCAAGGGUUGCGCUCGUUGCGGGACUUAACCCAACAUCUCACGACACGAGCUGACGACAGCCAUGCAGCACCUGUGUCCAGGUUCCCUUUCGGGCACCCCACCAUCUCUGGGGGGCUCCUGGCAUGUCAAGGGUAGGUAAGGUUUUUCGCGUUGCAUCGAAUUAAUCCACAUAAUCCACCGCUUGUGCGGGUCCCCGUCAAUUCCUUUGAGUUUUAACCUUGCGGCCGUACUCCCCAGGCGGUCAACUUCACGCGUUAGCUGCGGCACAGAGCGGGUUGAAGACCGCCCCACACCUAGCACUCAACGUUUACGGCUGGGACUAC
RNAcentral lists this unclassified non-coding RNA (380 nucleotides) under uncultured Gammaproteobacteria bacterium. RNAcentral describes it as "contains 16S-23S intergenic spacer region". Lineage: Bacteria; Pseudomonadati; Pseudomonadota; Gammaproteobacteria. The record is from RNAcentral.